CCAGACUCCUACGGGAGGCAGCAGUGGGGGAUAUUGGACAAUGGGGGGAACCCUGAUCCAGCGACGCCGCGUGAGUGAAGAAGUAUUUCGGUAUGUAAAGCUCUAUCAGCAGGGAAGAAAUAGCGACCUUUGGGUCGCCAGACGGUACCUGAUUAAGAAGCCCCGGCUAACUACGUGCCAGCAGCCGCGGUAAUACGUAUGGAGCAAGCGUUAUCCGGAUUUACUGGGUGUAAAGGGAGCGCAGACGGCAGGGCAAGUCUGAUGUGAAAGUCCGGGGCUCAACCCCGGGACUGCAUUGGAAACUGUCCGGCUAGAGUGCAGGAGAGGUAAGUGGAAUUCCUAGUGUAGCGGUGAAAUGCGUAGAUAUUAGGAGGAACACCAGUGGCGAAGGCGACUUACUGGACUGUAACUGACGUUGAGGCUCGAAAGCGUGGGGAGCAAACAGGAUUAGAUACCCUUGUA
RNAcentral lists this ribosomal RNA (462 nucleotides) under uncultured bacterium. RNAcentral's name for it is "bacterial SSU rRNA". It matches the Rfam family "Bacterial small subunit ribosomal RNA", at positions 331 to 792 of the family's 1533-position model. The record is from RNAcentral.